Molecule: unclassified non-coding RNA, 216 nt
Filed under: Glomeromycetes sp.
Lineage: Eukaryota; Fungi; Glomeromycota; Glomeromycetes
Description: partial contains 5.8S ribosomal RNA and internal transcribed spacer 2
Rfam family: 5.8S ribosomal RNA (bases 1-71)
Source: RNAcentral
GUGAAUCAUCGAAUUUUUGAACGCAUAUUGCACUCUCUGGUAUUCCGGAGAGUAUGCCUGUUUGAGGGUAAUUAUAAAGAAUCUUUAACCUCUUUUUUUGGUCAAAGGAUAUGAGAUCUCCGCGUUUAUAGCGGUAGUUUGAAAUAAAUGGCCAAGUCUCAUUAUAGUUGAGACGCGACAUAUUAAUAUUUUUCGAAAUAUUCUUUAUGUGUCUAU